GCCAGGUGUGGUGGUGGGCACCUGUAAUCCCACCUACUCGGGAGGCUGAGGCAGGAGAAUCACUUGAGCCCAGGAGGUGGAGGUUGCAGUGAGCAGAGAUCAUGCCACUGCACUCCAGCCUGGGCAACAGAGUAAGACUCUGUCUUAA
RNAcentral lists this non-coding RNA (148 nucleotides) under Homo sapiens (human). The record is from Rfam by way of RNAcentral. Lineage: Eukaryota; Metazoa; Chordata; Mammalia; Primates; Hominidae.